Molecule: ribosomal RNA, 486 nt
Filed under: uncultured bacterium
Lineage: Bacteria
Description: bacterial SSU rRNA
Rfam family: Bacterial small subunit ribosomal RNA
Source: RNAcentral
AACGAACGCUGGCGGCGCGCCUAACACAUGCAAGUCGAACGAGAAUCCGGGGCAACCCGGUAGUAAAGUGGCGAACGGGUGAGGAAUACAUGGGUAACCUGCCCUUGAGGAUGGAAUAACCCGCCGAAAGGCGAGCUAAUACCAUAUACGCUUGUUGUCUCACGGGAUAGCAAGGAAAGCUGAACCGAGGGUUUGGCACUCAAGGAGGGGCUCAUGUCCUAUCAGCUUGUUGGUAGGGUAACGGCCUACCAAGGCAACGACGGGUAGCUGGUCUGAGAGGAUGAUCAGCCACACUGGCACUGAGACACGGGCCAGACUCCUACGGGAGGCAGCAGUGAGGAAUAUUGCGCAAUGGGCGAAAGCCUGACGCAGCGACGCCGCGUGGGGGAUGAAGGUUUUCGAAUUGUAAACCCCUUUUCAGGAGGAAAGAGAAGGUGGGUUACCACCUAGACGGUACCUCCAGAAGAAGCCACGGCUAACUUCGUG